Molecule: ribosomal RNA, 459 nt
Filed under: uncultured bacterium
Lineage: Bacteria
Description: partial 16S ribosomal RNA
Rfam family: Bacterial small subunit ribosomal RNA
Source: RNAcentral
CCUACGGGCGGCUGCAGUGAGGAAUAUUGGUCAAUGGGCGAAAGCCUGAACCAGCCAAGCCGCGUGAGGGACGACGGUGCCAAGGGUUGUAAACUUCUUUUGUCAGGGGGCAAAAUCCGGAUCGGGAGCCUGAUCGGGGUUACCUGAGAAAAAGGAAUCGGCUACCUCGGGGCAAGAAGCCGGGGUAAUAGGGAGGAUGCGAGCGUAAUCCGGAUUUAUUGGGUUUAAAGGGUGCGUAGGCGGAGUUUUAGGUCAGCGGUAAAAGCCGGGGGCUCAACCCCGUCCAGCCGUUGAAACUGGGGAUCUAGAGAGUGCGAGAGGUAUGCGGAAGGCGUGGUGUAGCGGUGAAAUGCAUAGAUAUCGCGCAGAACCCCGAUUGCGAAGGCAGCAUACCGGUGCCGAUCUGACGCUGAGGCACGAAAGCGUGGGUAUCGAACAGGAUUAGAUACCCCGGUAGUC